UUCUCAGCCAUUUGGCUAAGAAAAUGUGGUGUUCUCAGCCAUAUGGCUAAGAAGGUGAUGUUCUCAGCCAUAUGGCUAAGAAAAAGUGGUGUUCUCAGCCAUUUGGCUAAGAAAAAUGGUGUUCUCAGCCAUUUGGCUAAGAAAAAGUGGUGUUCUCAGCCAUUUGGCUAAGAAAAUUGGUGUUCUCAGCCAUAUGGCUAAGAAGGUGAUGUUCUCAGCCAUAUGGCUAAGAAAAAGUGGUGUUCUCAGCCAUUUGGCUAAGAAAAAGUGGUGUUCUCAGCCAUUUGGCUAAGAAAAAGUGGUGUUCUCAGCCAUUUGGCUAAGAAAAAUGGUGUUCUCAGCCAUUUGGCUAAGAAAAAGUGGUGUUCUCAGCCAUUUGGCUA
Long non-coding RNA from Dermacentor silvarum, 383 nucleotides. RefSeq lists it as uncharacterized. NCBI's taxonomy places the organism in Eukaryota, Metazoa, Arthropoda, Arachnida, Ixodida, Ixodidae. The record is from RefSeq and is a predicted model, not a curated record. The transcript has 3 exons.